Molecule: unclassified non-coding RNA, 467 nt
Filed under: uncultured Ascomycota
Lineage: Eukaryota; Fungi; Ascomycota
Description: sequence contains ITS2
Rfam family: 5.8S ribosomal RNA (bases 1-154)
Source: RNAcentral
AACUUUUAGCAACGGAUCACUCGGCUCUCGCAACGAUGAAGGGCGCAGCGAAAUGCGAUAAGUAGUGUGAAUUGCAGAAUUCAGUGAACCAUCGAAACCUUGAACGCAAAUUGCACCUGUGGGUCCUCCCACAGGUACGCUUGUCCGAGUGCCGACCCUAACAACUCGACCGCGAGGAUGCGGGUGGACGAACCCAGCCUCAGGGUGUGGGGGAGAUCCGACCGGUCCAGGGGGUUGGAGCGUGGGAAUGUGCUUCGCGGCAGUUGCGUCGUAUUGGGUUGGGAGGGAAGGCGCGGUGCAUCCGCACGUACACGCGUAUCGAUCGAAGGCCAUCGGCCCGAUGCUUCGACUCGCGGGUGCGUCCGCCCGCCACGAUCCCGCCGAAGGAAGGGAGGACUUUUCAACUUUUCGGCCUCGGAUCAAGCGAGACUACCCGCUGAACUUAAGCAUAUCAAUAAGCGGAGGCU